Molecule: long non-coding RNA, 304 nt
Filed under: Brassica rapa (field mustard)
Lineage: Eukaryota; Viridiplantae; Streptophyta; Magnoliopsida; Brassicales; Brassicaceae
Description: long non-coding RNA (BRAP_LNC008781)
Source: RNAcentral
UUUUUGUUGAUAGAUGAGUAUUUUUUUAAAUUUUUUGAUCAAUAGUUGUAUUUUUUAAAAAUAAUUCUCAAAAAUUCUAUUUUACGAAAGUUUUCAUUUUUUUCAUAGAAAUAUUGUAGAUUUGGGGUUCUGGUUUAGAAAUUAGGAUAACAAGAAUUUUUGUUGAUACAUGAGUAUUCUUUUAGAUUUUUUGAUCAAUAGUUGUAUUUUUUAAAUAUAAUUCUCAAAAAUUCUAUUUUAGGAAAGUUUUCAUUUUUACAUAGAAAUAUUGUAGAUUUGGUGUUGUGGUUUUGUAAUUAGGAUA